CUCCGGUUGAUCCUGCCGGACCCGACUGCUAUCAGAGUGGGACUAAGCCAUGCGAGUCAACAUAGCAAUAUGUGGCAUACGGCUCAGUAACACGUAGUCAACAUGCCCAGGGGACGCGGAUAACCUCGGGAAACUGAGGAUAAACCGCGAUAGGUCAUCACUUCUGGAAUGGGUAAUGACUUAAAUCUAUAUGGCCCCUGGAUUGGACUGCGGCCGAUCAGGCUGUUGGCGAGGUAAUGGCCCACCAAACCUGUAACCGGUACGGGCUCUGAGAGGAGGAGCCCGGAGAUGGGCACUGAGACAAGGGCCCAGGCCCUAUGGGGCGCAGCAGGCGCGAAACCUCUGCAAUAGGCGAAAGCUUGACAGGGUUACUCUGAGUGAUUUCCGUUAAGGAGAUCUUUUGGCACCUCUAAAAAUGGUGCAGAAUAAGGGGUGGGCAAGUCUGGUGUCAGCCGCCGCGGUAAUACCAGCACCCCGAGUGGUCGGGAUGUUUAUUGGGCCUAAAGCAUCCGUAGCCGGUUCUACAAGUCUUCCGUUAAAUCCACCUGCUUAACAGAUGGGCUGCGGAAGAUACUAUAGAGCUAGGAGGCGGGAGAGGCAAGCGGUACUCGAUGGGUAGGGGUAAAAUCCGUUGAUCCAUUGAAGACCACCAGUGGCGAAGGCGGCUUGCCAGAACGCGCUCGACGGUGAGGGAUGAAAGCUGGGGGAGCAAACCGGAUUAGAUACCCGGGUAGUCCCAGCUGUAAACGAUGCAGACUCGGUGAUGAGUUGGCUUAUUGCUAACUCAGUGCCGCAGGGAAGCCGUUAAGUUUGCCGCCUGGGGAGUACGGUCGCAAGACUGAAACUUAAAGGAAUUGGCGGGGGAGCA
RNAcentral lists this ribosomal RNA (868 nucleotides) under uncultured archaeon. Its description in RNAcentral is "bacterial SSU rRNA". It matches the Rfam family "Archaeal small subunit ribosomal RNA", at positions 1 to 878 of the family's 1478-position model. The record is from RNAcentral.